This 447-nucleotide ribosomal RNA is filed under the name uncultured bacterium. RNAcentral's name for it is "partial 16S ribosomal RNA". It matches the Rfam family "Bacterial small subunit ribosomal RNA", at positions 29 to 523 of the family's 1533-position model. The record is from RNAcentral.
AACGAACGCUGGCGGCAGGCCUAACACAUGCAAGUCGAACGCCCCGCAAGGGGAGUGGCAGACGGGUGAGUAACGCGUGGGAACCUUCCCAGUGGUACGGAAUAACUGACCGAAAGGUUGGCUAAUACCGUAUACGCCCGAAAGGGGAAAGAUUUAUCGCCAUUGGAUGGGCCCGCGUCGGAUUAGCUAGUUGGUGAGGUAAUGGCUCACCAAGGCGACGAUCCGUAGCUGGUCUGAGAGGAGGAUCAGCCACACUGGGACUGAGACACGGCCCAGACGCCGACGGGAGGCAGCAGUGGGGAAUAUUGGACAAUGGGCGCAAGCCUGAUCCAGCCAUGCCGCGUGAGUGAUGAAGGUCUUCGGAUUGUAAAACUCUUUCGCCGGGGAAGAUAAUGACGGUACCCGGAGAAGAAGCUCCGGCUAACUUCGUGCCAGCCGCCGCCGUAA